GAAUAUUGGACAAUGGGCGCAAGCCUGAUCCAGCCAUGCCGCGUGGGUGAAGAAGGCCUUCGGGUUGUAAAGCCCUUUUGUCCGGAAAGAAAAGCUUCGGGUUAAUACCCCGGGGUUCUGACGGUACCGGACGAAUAAGCACCGGCUAACUCCGUGCCAGCAGCCGCGGUAAUACAGAGGGGGCAAGCGUUGUCCGGAAUUACUGGGCGUACAGCGCGCGCAGGCGGUCUGGGACGUGCCGUGUGACAUCCGUCGGCUCAACCGACGGAGGCCAGGGUACACGAGCAGACUGGAGACAGAGAGAGGGAUGUGGAAUACCCGGUGGAGCGGUGAAAUGCGUAGAGAUCGGGUGGAACACCAGGGGCGAAGGCGGCAUCCUGGCUCUGUUCUGACGCUGAGGCGCGAGAGCGUGGGGAGCAAAC
RNAcentral lists this ribosomal RNA (422 nucleotides) under uncultured bacterium. RNAcentral's name for it is "bacterial SSU rRNA". It matches the Rfam family "Bacterial small subunit ribosomal RNA", at positions 359 to 773 of the family's 1533-position model. The record is from RNAcentral.